Molecule: long non-coding RNA, 691 nt
Organism: Etheostoma cragini (Arkansas darter)
Lineage: Eukaryota; Metazoa; Chordata; Actinopteri; Perciformes; Percidae
Exons: 2
Source: RefSeq, a predicted model, not a curated record
GUAAGAAAAUGCACAUAUCGUGUAUAAUCUCACCAUUAUUCACUCUAUUAAUCUCAGUUCUUAGCCAAGUCCAUCCAGCUUCUGUUCUUCACAUUAAAUAUAAAUCUAAUGAUUCCACUACAAUUCAUUUGUCAGUGUGAGUGCAGUUAUUCUUUGCUUUGGAGAUUGUCUUAUGGAUGUACACUGGUAAACACAAAAUGCUUCACUGAGAGUAGACCAUCUAUCAGUUUGCAGCCACAAAAUAUUUUUGAAAAGACAUUUUCUUGGCAUUAAUGUAUCUACCUAUGAUUUCAUGACCGGAAACAUGAGUAAUCUCCAACAAUAUAAACAUAUUAAGCAUGAAUAAACCUAGCAAUCUUAUCACAAAUAAAGAAAAAACAUGAGUUGCUUUGCUGAGAGUGUAUGUAAGCCUAAAGGACAACAAGUCAUGACAACUGAAAUUUAGUUUUGCAUGAAAUAUGAGCUGGGAGUAUCAAAAGCCAGUCUGUCUGGCAUGAAUGACCAUGGUGAUGAUAGGUAAUAACUUGGACUGGUAUCUGGAUAUGUUCUGGUUGGCACUUCAUACCCUUCAUGUCCUGUAAGUCUAGUGUGAUUAUUACGUACACUUUCCCUCACAAGACAACCAUGGAUAUACUUGUAUUUUUUUUCUUUAUAAAAGACAAGAACAAAAAAUAAAUAUCAAAAAUAACAA